Molecule: long non-coding RNA, 679 nt
Filed under: Pan troglodytes (chimpanzee)
Lineage: Eukaryota; Metazoa; Chordata; Mammalia; Primates; Hominidae
Description: long non-coding RNA NONPTRT012358
Source: RNAcentral
GUGAAGCUGACCCCGCUCUCUGUGCACCUACUUUUGCUGCGUUUGGUGCUGAGCCUGAAGUCCCAGGACAGGCGGCUGAGGGGGAAAGAUGGUGUGAAUUGGGUGGGCAGAGACAACUGAAAGCCACAGGACCCGGUUGGCACCUUUUUGGCCGCCUGGGCCUUUGCCUGCAGCCCCGCUCCCUGGGUCACCCGAAGGAGGAGCUGGCGCUCUUACCGGGCGCAGAAGCACCCGACCUACGCUGGAGGAAACGGUCCCCCUGGGCAGGAGAAGCUUUGGGCUUGGCUGGAGCACACUCACGGAACCACGCCAACGCCUGGCCUGUAGCCAGCUCCCACCUCCCCUCCCACCUUCUAAAAUGCUUGCGGAUCUCACGUGGCCGACCCUAACCAGAUACACAUGGGGAAAGGAAUCAGGUGGCACACACACUGCCUUUACUCCAUAGAGAACUUCCAAUUGUGGGUUGAACUGUGGGAGGAACUUAGUUUAAAACAAAGAUGAUAACAGCCCUUUCCCAAAAGAAACCUUUCCUGGGGACUAGCCUGCUUUUGUGGGACCAACAGAUUAGCCACAAGAUUAGAAACUACGGUUGAAGAGUCACGCAGCGGGAGGCUACAGGAUUCUGACCCUUCCCAAACUGCUCCUGGCGAUAACAUCACCAUCGUAAAGCCUAAGAUCA